GGCGACGAUGCAUAGCCGACCUGAGAGGGUGAUCGGCCACACUGGGACUGAGACACGGCCCAGACUCCUACGGGAGGCAGCAGUAGGGAAUCUUCCACAAUGGACGAAAGUCUGAUGGAGCAACGCCGCGUGAGUGAUGAAGGUUUUCGGAUCGUAAAACUCUGUUGUAAGGGAAGAACACGUACGAGAGGGAAUGCUCGUACCUUGACGGUACCUUACGAGAAAGCCACGGCUAACUACGUGCCAGCAGCCGCGGUAAUACGUAGGUGGCAAGCGUUGUCCGGAAUUAUUGGGCGUAAAGCGCGCGCAGGCGGCCUUUUAAGUCUGAUGUGAAAGCCCCCGGCUCAACCGGGGAGGGCCAUUGGAAACUGGAAGGCUUGAGUACAGAAGAGAAGAGUGGAAUUCCACGUGUAGCGGUGA
RNAcentral lists this ribosomal RNA (420 nucleotides) under Exiguobacterium sp. 20B(2010). RNAcentral's name for it is "bacterial SSU rRNA". It matches the Rfam family "Bacterial small subunit ribosomal RNA", at positions 272 to 684 of the family's 1533-position model. Lineage: Bacteria; Bacillati; Bacillota; Bacilli; Caryophanales. RNAcentral also lists the same sequence under 1 other name. The record is from RNAcentral.